RNAcentral lists this non-coding RNA (26 nucleotides) under Mus musculus (house mouse). Lineage: Eukaryota; Metazoa; Chordata; Mammalia; Rodentia; Muridae. The record is from RNAcentral.
UGUUUAUGCCCAGGAAACCUCUCCCA